Molecule: ribosomal RNA, 467 nt
Filed under: uncultured bacterium
Lineage: Bacteria
Description: partial 16S ribosomal RNA
Rfam family: Bacterial small subunit ribosomal RNA
Source: RNAcentral
GACGAACGCUGGCGGCGUGCUUAACACAUGCAAGUCGAACGGAAAGGCCCUGCUUUUGUGGGGUGCUCGAGUGCGAACGGGGGGGUAACACGUGAGUAACCUGCCCUUGACUUUGGGAUAGCUUCAUGAAACUGGGGGUAAUACCGGAUAGGGGCUUCUUCUGCAGGGUGGGGGUUGGAAAGUUUCGGCGGUUGGGGAUGGUCUCGGGGCUUAUCAGCUUGUUUGUGGGGGUGUGGCUUGCCAAGGCUUUGAAGGGUAGCCGGCCUGAGAGGGUGACCGGCCACAUUGGGACUGAGAUACGGCCCAGACUCCUACGGGAGGCAGCAGUGGGGAAUAUUGCACAAUGGGCGGAAGCCUGAUGCAGCAACGCCGCGUGCGGGAUGACGGCCUUCGGGUUGUAAACCGCUUUCGCCUGUGACGAAGCGUGAGUGACGGUAAUGGGUAAAGAAGCACCGGCUAACUACGUG